GAUGAACGCUGGCGGCGUGCCUAAUACAUGCAAGUCGAGCGAACGGACGAGAAGCUUGCUUCUCUGAUGUUAGCGGCGGACGGGUGAGUAACACGUGGAUAACCUACCUAUAAGACUGGGAUAACUUCGGGAAACCGGAGCUAAUACCGGAUAAUAUUUUGAACCGCAUGGUUCAAAAGUGAAAGACGGUCUUGCUGUCACUUAUAGAUGGAUCCGCGCUGCAUUAGCUAGUUGGUAAGGUAACGGCUUACCAAGGCAACGAUGCAUAGCCGACCUGAGAGGGUGAUCGGCCACACUGAAACUGAGACACGGCCCAGACUCCUACGGGAGGCAGCGGUGGGGAAUCUUCCGCAAUGGGCGAAAGCCUGACGAAGCAACGCCGCGUGGGUGAUGAAGGUCUUCGGAUCGUAAAACUCUGUUAUUAGGGAAGAACAUAUGGGUAAGUAACUGUGCACAUCUUGACGUUACCUAAUCAGAAAGCCACGGCUAACUACGU
This 496-nucleotide ribosomal RNA is filed under the name uncultured bacterium. RNAcentral's name for it is "partial 16S ribosomal RNA". It matches the Rfam family "Bacterial small subunit ribosomal RNA", at positions 28 to 506 of the family's 1533-position model. The record is from RNAcentral.